Molecule: ribosomal RNA, 85 nt
Filed under: Jaculus jaculus (lesser Egyptian jerboa)
Lineage: Eukaryota; Metazoa; Chordata; Mammalia; Rodentia; Dipodidae
Source: RNAcentral
GUCUAUGGCCAUGCCUCUCUGAAUUUGCCUGAUCUUGUCUGAUUUUGGAAGCUCAGCAGGGAUGGGCCUGGUUCGGCCUUGGAUG